AUGGCGGCGGCUGAGUCUUUGCGCUUAUAUCAAGAAAAAGAAAGAGUACAUCGCAAAUACACAUAUGGUGAGAACAUCUAUGAGUCAGCAAGGUCGGCCCAAGCUAUAUCAACUUUAGCGCAGAACUUUUCACGAGCAAGGUUGAAGCAAACUAAAAUUAAAAGACAUGGCUGGUCCAAGCCGCCUGAGGGCGUCAUCAAACUUAAUGUCGAUGUAGCCUUUGAUCAGGACACUGGUACAGGGGGUACGGGAGCAGUGCUGCGUGAUGAGGCCGGUUUCUUUGUCGCUGCUUCCUGCAGUGAUAUACCCUUUGUGGAAGACGCAGCGACGGCAGAGGCUAGAGGACUACGAGAUGGCCUCCUACUAGCGAAUGAAGUUGGUUGCAACAAAAUCUAUGUCGAAGCGGACUGUCUGGAGGUAAUCGAAAUCAUGCUGAGUGGCGGGAUCAGGACACUGGUACAGGGGGUACGGGAGCAGUGCUGUGUGAUGAGGCCGGUUUCUUUGUCGCUGCUUCCUGCAGUGAUAUACCCUUUGUGGAAGAUGCAGCGACGGCAGAGGCUAGAGGACUACGAGAUGGCCUCCUACUAG
RNAcentral lists this ribosomal RNA (588 nucleotides) under Triticum aestivum (bread wheat). RNAcentral's name for it is "partial small subunit ribosomal RNA". Lineage: Eukaryota; Viridiplantae; Streptophyta; Magnoliopsida; Poales; Poaceae. The record is from RNAcentral.